Bombina bombina (fire-bellied toad) is the source of this 447-nucleotide long non-coding RNA. RefSeq lists it as uncharacterized. The record is from RefSeq and is a predicted model, not a curated record. The transcript is spliced from 5 exons. Lineage: Eukaryota; Metazoa; Chordata; Amphibia; Anura; Bombinatoridae.
CUAAAGACUGAAAGUGAAGUAUUCAAGACUGAAAGUGAAGAAUUCAAGACUGAAAGUGAAGAAUUUAAGCCUGAAAGUGAAGAAUCCCAGACUGAAAGUGAAGAAUCCCAGAUUGAAAGUGAUGAAUACCAAUGUGAUCAUGUCUGGCAUUGUCUUUCAAAUGUGCUGACCUUGAAAACCAUACAAAGACACGUUCAUAUGAUGGUAUUUCACAAUCCUCUAUUUUGAAAAUGAUGAAUAAGACACCUAAUGAAGAUAAACUGUUAUUUUGAAGAUAAUUGCCUUUCAAAGACCAUACAUCCAGAUCGUGAUGUUGGUGCUGAAACCUCAAGCCAGGGUUCGUCUCAGCAUGAUAUAGUUGCUGUGGGGAGCCCAGAGGGAUCCGGCACCAAUGAUGAGAUGCCUUUGCAGGAUUUGGAGAUUGAUGUAACAUGUGAGACGGAGGAG